GAUGAACGCUGGCGGCGUGCCUAAUACAUGCAAGUCGAGCGAACAGACGAGGAGCUUGCUCCUCUGACGUUAGCGGCGGACGGGUGAGUAACACGUGGAUAACCUCCCUAUAAGACUGGGAUAACUUCGGGAAACCGGCGCUAAUACCGGAUAAUAUAUUGAACCGCAUGGUUCAAUAGUGAAAGACGGGUUUGCUGUCACUUAUAGAUGGAUCCGCGCCGCAUUAGCUAGUUGGUAAGGUAACGGCUUACCAAGGCAACGAUGCGUAGCCGACCUGAGAGGGUGAUCGGCCACACGGGAACUGAGACAGCGUCCAGACUCCUACGGGAGGCAGCAGUAGGGAAUCUUCCGCAAUGGGCGAAAGCCUGACGGAGCAACGCCGCGUGAGUGAUGAAGGUCUUCGGAUCGUAAAACUCUGUUAUUAGGGAAGAACAAAUGUGUAAGUAACUAUGCACGUCUUGACGGUACCUAAUCAGAAAGCCACGGCUAACUACGUG
RNAcentral lists this ribosomal RNA (497 nucleotides) under uncultured bacterium. RNAcentral describes it as "partial 16S ribosomal RNA". It matches the Rfam family "Bacterial small subunit ribosomal RNA", at positions 28 to 507 of the family's 1533-position model. The record is from RNAcentral.